RNAcentral lists this ribosomal RNA (407 nucleotides) under uncultured bacterium. RNAcentral describes it as "partial 16S ribosomal RNA". It matches the Rfam family "Bacterial small subunit ribosomal RNA", at positions 30 to 526 of the family's 1533-position model. The record is from RNAcentral.
AUUGAACGCUAGCGGGAUGCCUUACACAUGCAAGUCGAACGGAGUGGCGAACGGGUGAGUAAUGUAUCGGAACGUGCCCAGUAGCGGGGGAUAACUACGCGAAAGCGUAGCUAAUACCGCAUACUAUUGGAGCGGCCGAUACAGGAUUAGCAAGUUGGGGGGGUACCGGAUCACCAAGGCGACGAUCCGUAGCUGGUUUGGGUGGAAGACCAGCCACACUGGGACUGAGACAAGGCCCAGACUCCUACGGGAGGCAGCAGUGGGGAAUUUUGGACAAUGGGGGAAACCCGGAUCCAGCCAUCCCGCGUGUGCGAUGAAGGCCCUCGGUUUGUAAAGCACUUUUGGCAGGAAAGCGGUACCUGCAGAAUAAGCACCGGCUAACUACGUUCCAGCAGCCGCGGUAAUUC